CCACCACUAGGACAAACAUAAACCUUUUGUAAUUGCAAUCAGCGUCAGUAACAAAUUAAUAAUUACAACUUUCAACAACGGAUCUCUUGGUUCUGGCAUCGAUGAAGAACGCAGCGAAAUGCGAUAAGUAGUGUGAAUUGCAGAAUUCAGUGAAUCAUCGAAUCUUUGAACGCACAUUGCGCCCUUUGGUAUUCCAAAGGGCAUGCCUGUUCGAGCGUCAUUUGUACCCUCAAGCUUUGCUUGGUGUUGGGCGUCUUGUCUCUAGCUUUGCUGGAGACUCGCCUUAAAGUAAUUGGCAGCCGGCCUACUGGUUUCGGAGCGCAGCACAAGUCGCACUCUCUAUCAGCAAAGGUCUAGCAUCCAUUAAGCCUUUUUUUCAACUUUUGACCUCGGAUCAGGUAGGGAUACCCGCUGAACUUAAGCAUAUCAUA
Molecule: ribosomal RNA, 431 nt
Filed under: Alternaria tenuissima
Lineage: Eukaryota; Fungi; Ascomycota; Dothideomycetes; Pleosporales; Pleosporaceae
Description: eukaryotic LSU rRNA
Rfam family: 5.8S ribosomal RNA (bases 67-220)
Source: RNAcentral